UAAUGUCUUAACGCCCCAAAAUUUGAAAAAAUAUAAUCCUUAGAAAAAACUUAAAAACGUUACGUAUUAAAACCUUUAUCAUUUCAGAGAAAGAAAAUGUCACACCCAAUACGUUAGGGCACGACAUUCUAAUUUUCCCCAAAAAUGAAUUAGGCCAAAAUACUAGUGCAAUAAAAAUUUAAAAGAAUAUCCAUUUAUUCAAGAUUUAAGAAAUUAAUGCCCAAUACGUUAGGGCACAAUUCCUUUAGAAUCCCAAACUCGAAAUAUUUCCUUUAUUAUUUUUUUAAAAUAUUCAUUUCGAGAAAUCAAUGCGUCACAUCCAAUACGUUAGGACACAACNNNNNNNNNNNNNNNNNNNNNNNNNNNNNNNNNNNNNNNNNNNNNNNNNNNNNNNNNNNNNNNNNNNNNNNNNNNNNNNNNNNNNNNNNNNNNNNNNNNNNNNNNNNNNNNNNNNNNNNNNNNNNNNNNNNNNNNNNNNNNNNNNNNNNNNNNNNNNNNNNNNNNNNNNNNNNNNNNNNNNNNNNNNNNNNNNNNNNNNNNNNNNNNNNNNNNNNNNNNNNNNNNNNNNNAAAUAAAUGAAUAAAUAAAAUCAAUAUACAUAAUAAAAAUAAUUACAUACAAAAUAUCAAAUAAAUGAUCAAAAUAAAAAAAUACUUUUUAACAUAUAAACGAAAACAUGAAUUAAUAAUCGAGUGAAGAAAAUAAACAAAACAUAAAGAAUAAAAGGCACAUAAUAUAUACAUUGAAAUUAAAAGUCAUACACAUAAUUUACAUAUGGAAUAUUGGGCUAUGAAACUUAUACAUACAUGAUUCAUUUAUGAAAAUAAAGGAAAAAAAUAUAAACUAUAAAGUAUAUUAAAAAAGCAUAUAUCUGUAUUUUAAAAAAAAAUAUUCAUAUAUAUAAAUAAAUAAAAAUUGGUUAAAAAUAUUAAUAUGUAUACAUACAUAUAUAUACUAAAAUAAAUAUAUACAUAUAGAUUAUAAAAAAUAAUUAUAUUAUACUACAAAAAUAAGCCUGCGUACGUAAAAAAUAUAUACAUAUAUAUUUUUUAAAAAUAAUAAUUAAAUAUGAAAAAGAAAUAAUAAAAAAUAAAAACACUAAUUAAUUAAAAAUAAAGAAAAUAAAAAAAAAGUUAAUUUGAAUUGUAAAUAAAAAUUCUGAGGCAAAUCUGUAAAUAAAUGGAGACUGAAGGACCAAAUUGAACGCGCAUAUUACAUGGAGGGAUCGGAAGGGAGAUUUUCCCUAAACGGCGUCGUCCAAUCAGGAUCGAAUUGAAUUUUAAAAUGAAUAAAAGGGUAAAUUCAAAAAAAAACUUAAUUUUAAAGAUAUUAAAAGGCGAAGGGGCUAAAUAAAAUAAAUAAAUAAAAUUCGCAGUGGUAUCAACCUCUCCCUUUUUUAAAAUCGUAAAUAAGUAAAAAAAAUAAUCGAAAGAAAAAAAUAGUAAGCCACCUUUAAAAAACUGCCAAUCGUUCUCUUUUUUUAUUCCUCCUCUUUCUCUUCUUUUACAAUGAAGGGAGAGGCCUCUAUUUAUAGUUGAGCCUCUCCAAAUCCAACGGUACAGAUCAAUUACAUCAACGGCUGUGAUUAAAGGGUAUCUACAAAUUAAAUCUCUAAGAUUACAAAAUCAUAUCUUCUAAGAUUGCAUAUCAUAUCUAAGAUUAUAUAUCAUAUCUAAGAUUGCAUAUCAUAUCUAAGAUUAUAUAUUAUAUCUAAGAUUGCAUAUCAUAUCUAAGAUUGCAUAUCCCUGAAGAUUAUGUUUCCAUAAGCUUGUAGAUGGACAUUCAACCUUUUCAAGUAAUGCGCAAUUCCGAUCGGGCCAAAUGAUAUUACUUUGGGUUUUUUUUUUGGUGAGCCCGGGCUAAAAUUGGGUAUUACAGCUGCCCCUCUUUGCUCAUUGUCAUGUAACAGGAACGGAGCAAAUACUUUAAAAAUGGCCAAUUUUUGCCCAGUCACGCUAGAUCUUAGUGCUCUUCUUCUUCAAACAACCGCAUUCCAUCCUAUUGCAUCUUCAAAUGUAUAAGAAUUGGUGCUUCAAUCUACUCCACCGCAAUAUCAAGGAGAUAGGACUUACAAUCUUCAACCUAUUCCACUGCUGACCAGGGAGAUAUGAUUACUGGCUUCAAUGUACUCUACUGUAACCACAGGGAGGUAAAAUCCGCCAUCUUCGCUCUGCUCCACUACUGCUUAGGGAGAUAAGAUCUGAAAUCUUCAAUCUAUUCCACUGUUGUCCAGGGAAGUAGAAUUACUGGCUUCAAUGUACUCCACUAUAACCACAGGGAGGUAAAAUCCGCCAUCUUCGAUCUACUCCACUACUGCUUAGGGAGAUAAGACCUGAAAUCUUCAAUCUAUUCCACUGUUGUCUAGGGAAGUAGNNNNNNNNNNNNNNNNNNNNNNNNNNNNNNNNNNNNNNNNNNNNNNNNNNNNNNNNNNNNNNNNNNNNNNNNNNNNNNNNNNNNNNNNNNNNNNNNNNNNUGGCUUCAAUGUACUCCACUAUAACCGACAAGGGAGGUAAAACUCCGCCAUCUUCGAUCUACUCCACUACUGCUUAGGGAGAUAAGACCUGAAAUCUUCAAUCUAUUCCACUGUUGUCUAGGGAAGUAGAAUUACUGGCUUCAAUGUACUCCACUGUAACCACAGGGAGGUAAAAUCCGCCAUCUUCGAUCUACUCCACUACUGCUUAGGGAGAUAAGACCUGAAAUCUUCAAUCUAUUCCACUGUUGUCUAGGGAAGUAGAAUUACUGGCUUCAAUAUACUCCACUGUAACCACAGGGAGGUAAAAUCCGCCAUCUUCGAUCUGCUCCACUACUGUUUAGGGAGAUAAGACCUGAAAUCUUCAAUCUAUUCCACUGUUGUCCAGGAAAGUAGAAUUACUAGCUUCAAUGUACUCCACUAUAACCACAGGGAGGUAAAAUCCACCAUCUUCGAUCUGCUCCACUACUGCUUAGGGAGAUAAGAUCUGAAAUCUUCAAUCUAUUCCACUGUUGUUCAGGGAAGUAGAAUUAUUGGCUUCAAUGUACUCCACUGUAACCACAGGUAGGUAAAAUCCACCAUCUUCGAUCUGCUCCACUACUGCUUAGGGAGAUAAGAUCUGAAAUCUUCAAUCUAUUCCACUAUUGCCCAGGGAAAUAGAAUUACUGGCUUCAAUGUACUCCACUAUAACCACAGGGAGGUAAAAUCCGCCAUCUUCGAUCUGCUCCACUACUGCUUAGGGAAAUAAGAUCUGAAAUCUUCAAUCUAUUCCACUGUUGUCCAAGGAAGUAGAAUUACUGGCUUUAAUGUACUCCACUGUAACCACAUGGAGGUAAAAUCUGCCAUCUUCGAUCUGCUUCGCUGUCAAUGCAGGAAUGCAAGAUCUGCUAUCCUUAACUUGCUCCACUACAACCGAGGAAGGCAAGGCUUUGUUUUCGAUCUGCUUCGCUGUCGAUGCAGGAAGGCAAUAUCUGCUAUUUUCACUGAUCUAUUCUCUGGGGAACAUGACCUGUAUAAUGAACCUAAUUAUGCCUAAUGAUUAGGAUGGCAUGAUCAAAAUGCAUCAAAUGCUCCUAACUAGACAUGUGUGAAUGGUGUUUGCAUGAAUGCAAAAUUUUAUUUUUUCGAGAAUGAUCCCGCUUAGGUUGUCAUUACUCGAAGUUUAUUAAGGCUUUGUGACUGGCGUGCUACAAUGCCUUCUUACUUGACUGGCUUUUCUGAAGAAACAUUUAGCCAGGUUGCCCCCCACUGUGAACCUCCAAGUUUAAUCCAUUGGGGCGCAAAAAUUCAUACCAUCGUUCUCCCACUGUAACCCAAAAGUAUAUGGCUUUUCUUCAAUCCUCUCCUAUCACAAUUCAAGGAUACAUGAUCUAAAUCUUUCUAGUCUCUUACACCAUUCCCAGGGUGUCGUACCAAAGGCUCAUGUACAAAUGAAGGCUCUCUUCCCGAGGCAACCUCUUUCUAUUGCCUGGUGAUCAUUACUUGCUUGUUGAUUUAGGCUUUAUCAUCAACACGACAUCUUAUUAUUUUGUUCAACCAAUGUUUUUGACAACAAAAUCCAAAGUGAAAGUCCUAGUUUAGACUCUUCUUUUUCAGAUUUCCAACCUUUAAACCUGGUGCGUUCUAAAUAAUAGCCCUGUUUCAGGCUCCUAUAUUAUUUAGAAACUUCUAGAGUAAUAUGUAAAACUUCCCUUCUGAAAGUUUUAUUAGUCCAUUGAUCAUUAUUCCAAUGCAGCAUGCUUACAAAAAGGUCAUAACAAGUGAUAAGAAUAAAUUAUAGUAAAAAAAAGAUAACAAAGAAAUUGAUUGGGAAUGUGUAUAUUUGAAAAGAAUGAAGUAUUCCAAGAAUAACAAAUUCAAUAGUAUGAAAAUUGGGUGCCCCAGAUAUCGUAGCUUGAACUUCUCUGUACAAACUUUUUGAAAAUUCUUCUGAGUUUGACAUGUGUUUAGGAGAUCCACAGUACUCUGCCAAUGCCCCAAGAUUUUGUCUACUCUUUCCUGUUGAUUCAGAUAUAACUAGAUCACCACAUGCCCCAAUCUGAUCAAGAUUCGAGUUGCUCUGAUCACCUCAUGCCCCAUUUUGAUCAAUAUUUGAGCCGCCCUUUUCGGGUUUUCAACUCAAAUCCCCUUUAGUCUCAAGGCGUCCUUUGCGGAUUUUCACCUUGGCCUCUCCCUUUUUUUUGAAAUAUUUUUUAUUGAAUCUGAACUCGUAAGAUUAGGCAUGUCCUUGUUAUCCUUUCUGAUCAAAGUCGAUGCUUUUUCGGAUAAGGCCUUCCACAUAAGGUCCUUCCUAGCUUGGGAUGAAGUUCUUUUUGUAUGGGAAGGAUCUUCUUCAAUACCAGGUCCCUCUCAAGGAAUUCUUUAAGACGGUCCUUUUUUGUGAGCUCGCAUCAUUAAUUUUGGUGCAUUUGACCAUGACGGAUAACUUUGAACAUUCUUCCUCGAUCGGUAUUGGAUCAAAAAACUCAGAGAGAAAGAAUCUUGUCUUCAAUAGGCAAAACCGUAAUGGACCCAAGAGAAAGACAUUGCCCUGGUAGAUUUUUUUUUGUCAUCCCCUUUUUGGCGAUAUGGCAUUAAUCAUGAACAGACUGCAAACUUUUGAUAUUGUGCUGUUGUUUAGUACAUUGUCAGAUAUGAUCCUUUUGGCAUUCCAUACUGAUUCUUCACGAAUUUGCUAACUGUCGACUUUGUGACAUUGACAUAUGAAGCAGCUUCCACCAAUUUAGUAAAGUAAUUGAUGACCACAAAGAUGAAUCAAUGAUCGUCAGACUCUUUUGGCUAGAUUGACCAAAUGACCUUUGUGCCCCACAUAUGGAGAAGUCAAGUAUCCCAAUGAUUCUUUGUAGGGUAAGAUUCAUUUCUCGAUUUGUUCUACCAUCUUUAACAGGUCCGGAAAUGGGCUACAAUCUAUGUCAUCUUCAAAGUCAUGAGAUCCCUCCAAACACAUGUCUCGCUCAAAAGGAGAUUCUGAGUCUGUAGCAGCGUCACUGAUGUCGUUGAUAUCCAAGGACCUAUAGUAAGUACAAAAGAAUAUACAAAGAAUGUACGAAUUUAAGAAUAAUUAUUUGUACAAUAUAAUUAUGAAUGAAAGAAUGAUGUGGAAGAAAAUCCAAAAGAAUGACAUAAUAAUUACUCGCAAAGAAUGAAAGAAUGUUGGCUCAAAAAUAAAUGCAAAGAUGUAUUUUAUUUGAAUAAUGAUGUUCAGACAUGAGCCUAUUUCACAAAGGAAUUCCUAUCAUUUUUAGGCUAAAAAUAACAAGAAUAUUCUGAACAUUACUCUAAAUAAGCUCUAAAGACUACAGAGAUUUCUUCCGCAAUCCAAUUACUUAGACGCUUCCAAGUUUAUAAGGGUGGAUAUCUAACAAGCUCCCUUUUUAAGUGUGUCUUCAUAUACGACAUUGACAUAAACGCUCUCGAACUCUUCUUCAUAUGUCGUAUUCAUCCCAUUAUCAAUGUGAUUGGGUAACAGAUUUUUGCGCUGGUGGCCUCAUUAAAUUUGACAAUGCCAAUAUUAAUAAAUCUUUCAACUAUCUUUUUGAAUGCGGUGCAGUUUUCUAUCGAGUGCCCCGCAAUCCCUGCAUGGUAUUCACACAGAGCAUUUGCGUUAUACCAUUUAGGAAAUGGAGGCAACAUUGGUUUCUGGUAGAAAGGGUACACCACAUGUGCAUUAAAUAGGCUCUGAUAUAGCUUGCUAUAUGAUAUCGGUAUAGGCGUGAACUGAAGCCUUUCUGCAUUUACCUUCGUGUAAGAUUCUUGCUUUAAAGGGCUCUAAUGGUUGGUGGUUUCUGUCUAUGACCGACCCAUAGUGAUUGGUUUUGAGUGGCCCUUGUUAUAUCUGCCUUCAUUAUUCCCCUUAUUCCCCUUCUUCCUUGAGGCUUUCAUGGUAUCUGGGCGCUCUACCUUCGCCUGUUUUAUUUCUGCUGGAUUGUCAAAAGUAACAGGAUUAGCUAAAUUGAUCCUCAAAUUGGAUUCUGGGCCCAUCAGGCGAUUCACUGAUGUCAAUGUACCAGUCUGAUAUUGUCGGGAGCUGAUCGUAAAGAAUGCCCCUUGUGGACGCUCAUCUAGCUGGACUUGGACAUUUAUCGGAGUACCACCUAGAGAAUAAGCAAGAUCCUCAUUAUCAACCCUAAGGUGGACCACCGGUCUUUUCAUUUCUUCUAACUUUCCAGCUAGCAAUCGGUUAAAUUGGCUCAUCAUAGUUUUCUGUAAUUCUAGCAUCUGAUUUCUCAUUUCCUGCUGAAAUUUGGUCAAUUGCUCCUGUAUCUGUAUCUGCAUUCGCUCUAAUUUUCCAACCUUUGUUCCAUUUCUCUAAUCUCUGCUUGGAUACCGUAAGUGUGUUGGUAAGUUAGUUGGUUUCCAGAUUAAUUGAUGAAUGAUUUUAAUCGAUUAGGCUCUUUUAGUGGACUUUAAUGUUAUGAUAUUAUGUAAUACGAAUGCAUGAAAUAAAUGCAUAAAGAGACGUUGAUUCUGAUUCAAUUCCAUUUAGAGAACUUUACUAGAAAACAAAUCUCUUUACAUAAAAUGGAUAUUUAUACGGCCUUGCCCCCAUAGGCGGAGAUAUUCAAUCCUUUUCUUCAUUCGAGCGUUAAGAUAAAUCUCACGAACUCUUCAAAAAAAGUCUCUUCUAUCUCCUUUUUGCUCGAUCCGGGCCGUAACUUGUUGUUCGCUCAUCCUCGUGAUGCUCGUUGGCUUUUCUUUAAGAAGGUUCAGCAGCUCUCAAAUAAUAUUUGUCAUCUUAAAUCAUUGGGCAACGGAGCCAUAGUCGUGUAGUCCUCCAUUAGAUUAUCAUCCUUCUCUUAUUAUGUGUUUUUGGACCUUAUUCGGACAACCAUAUUGUUAUCCACUUUAUCAAGAAAUCCAUUUUCUUAUAACAAGCUCUCUAUUUAGCAACUGAACGUGAAUCAACACCUCUUUUUUUAUGAUGCAAAUGCAAUGCAAUCACAAUAAAAACAAUAUAAAAAAACAAGUUAGUACAAAGUAAAAGCAAAUAAAUAAAGUACCUACCCGGGUGACCUCUAGGGAUUUGGCAUAGUUCUACCUAGGAUAAGUUCCUAAGGUUCAUUAUAUGCGGUUUGGUUCUAAAGUAAGGGUACCUGAAAUAGCAGAUUCCUCGAUCCUCACCCAUUAUAGGUUCAUACGGACCAAGUUCAGUUCAAGGGAAUACAUUUCCCUAUGGCUGCACGGAGAUGAAAAUCUCACGAAGACAUAGGUACGGAUGUAUCCCGUAAGCAAUCCGCUAUCCUGCACGGAGGUGAAGACCUCACGAAGGAAAUAGCUUCUCACUCCCACUUAUAAGGGUAAAAUCAUUCAACUCAAGUAAUGAAUAAUGCAAAGAUCAAUUAAGCAAGAAAAUGAAUGAAUGCACAAUGAUCUCAUGAUUUUUUAAAAAAAAAUAUUUUCUCGACCAUAAGACAAAAAUUAAUCAACUUUGUGGCUCGACUCUCUUAUUUUUUUUUAAAAAUCCCCAGUGGAGUCGCCAAACUGUCGAAACCAUUUUUUUGAAAAAAAAUAAAAAUUUUAGGUUGUCGACUUUAAAAAAUGAAAAUUGGGAGUCGCCACCAAUCUUUUAUUGAGUUGUGAUUGGAUCACCUAAAAAAACGGCUUUGGUCUACGAGUUUUAGAAAAACGGAUCCGGGAGUUAGUUACGUACGAGGAAGGAUUAGCACCCUUGUACGCCCAAAAUUGGUACCUAGUUAAUUAAUUAAUGUCUUAAUGUCAAAAAUUUGAAGAAAUAUAAUCCUUAGAAAAAACUUAAAAACGUUACGUAUUAAAACCUUUAUCAUUUCAGAGAAAGAAAAUGUCACACCCAAUACGUUAGGGCACGACAUUCUAAUUUUUCCCAAAAAUGAAUUAGGCCAAAAUACUAGUGCAAUAAAAAUUUAAAAGAAUAUCCAUUUAUUCAAGAUUUAAGAAAUCGCGGCCCAAUACGUUAGGGCACAAUUCCUUUAGAAUCCCAAAUUCGAAAUAUUUCCUUUAUUAUUUUUUAAAAUAUUCAUUUCGAGAAAUCAAUGCGUCACAUCCAAUACGUUAAGACACAACGUGUUGAACUCCCAAUAAUGAGUUCUUUAUUUUUUAUUAAAGAGAAAUGCUCGAUUGUUAGAUUUAACGAAGAAAAUCGGAACCCAAUACGUUAGGGUUCAAUUUCCUUGAAAAUCCUAAAUACCAGCAUUAUCUCAAUUUUAAAAAGUUUGAAAUCGAGUAAAAAAAAUGAUGUGAUGUUAUAUUAAAUAAUGCAAUAGUAAAUAUCACAGUGGCAUAGAAAUAAUAUAAAUAAAUGAAUAAAUAAAAUCAAUAUACAUAAUAAAAAUAAUCACAUACAAAAAUUCAAAAAUUUAAUUUAUUUAUUCAUUUAUUUAUAUAAAUAAAUGAAUAAAUAAAAUAAAUAAAUAAAAUUCAAAAAUUUUCCAGAUGAAGGUGUUGAUCGUUCAAGAGUGUGGUUUAACUCCAAUCAUCAUCAAGCAUUGGCUGUCUAUUCAGGAUGCUAAAAGUUCAAUCGGCAGAAACUGAGCAAAUCGGCAGAAAAGAAAGGAAAAGAAACAGUGAGAGCAAAUAGAGGAACAGAGGGAACAAAUCGGCAGAAAAGAAAAAAAACAGAGGGAGCAAAUCGGCAGAAGCUAGAAGGAACAGAAGAGAAGCAAAGGGGAAGCCGAUGGGAGGAUAAAACAGGGAGGGUAAACUGAAGCGGCACCUAAUCUGAGCAAAAGGGAGGGAUUAGAAAUCGGUGGAUUUCACCGAUUAGAUCAGUUAUGUAUUACGGGUGUAUUAACAAUACCAUGAACAAAACAACGGAAUAAAGGGCAAUUAGGUGGGCCCACCGAUUAAGGUGUAAAGUAAUCUGGGAAAGAUACCAAGUGUGUGUCUUUAAGCACACUAGCGAAUGAAGUAGCACAUUUAUUAGCUGUAGAGGGGUUAAAAAGAAAUGAAGACUUAUCUCAUCGGUGAGGUUCCUUCUUAUGUAAAAGAGGCAGCUGAUGAGGAUCUUCAAUAGUUGGGUUCGACUUCUUUGCAGAUUGACACCUAGCCGGUUAAAAUGACGAUGGACGGCAAGGCUCACUUUGGGCAAGCAAAAUGAAAAAUAGAAGAGACUCACCGGUUGUUUUCUCAGUUUCAACGGCAGUUUCGUGACCGAGGUGAAGGCAAGAUAGCAAAUAUGAGGCGAAUAUGAAGUUUUUAUUCUUCUUUCAGACGAAUUGAAAUGAACAAGAGCAAAUACACGGUGAUUUUUUCAAGAAACAAAAAAGGCAUCUAAAGGGACUUUGUUUUUUCAGAUACUAAGGGAUAAGGAAAGUCUGCUU
This 9765-nucleotide long non-coding RNA is filed under the name Gossypium raimondii (Peruvian cotton). RNAcentral's name for it is "long non-coding RNA (GRAI_LNC010075)". The record is from RNAcentral. Lineage: Eukaryota; Viridiplantae; Streptophyta; Magnoliopsida; Malvales; Malvaceae.